Molecule: unclassified non-coding RNA, 216 nt
Filed under: Hevea brasiliensis (rubber tree)
Lineage: Eukaryota; Viridiplantae; Streptophyta; Magnoliopsida; Malpighiales; Euphorbiaceae
Source: RNAcentral
CGAGAAUCCAGCAAAUGAAAAUGGCCAGUCUGAGUCCGAAGCCCAACCUGAAUCGAACCAGCACGAUGAAUUAUAAUAGAAUAAUGAUAGGUAAUUAGUUCAAGUUUUGAUUUCCUGCCUCCUAAAUGCUAGAUAAGUAGCAUCCUUUGGCCUAAACGAAUUGUUGAGUUGAGAUCCUUCGAGGAAGAUAGAGAAUUGCAAAGUGAGCAGUUGUUG